UACGGGGGGGGCAAGCGUUGUUCGGAAUUACUGGGCGUAAAGGGCUCGUAGGCGGCCAACUAAGUCAGACGUGAAAUCCCUCGGCUUAACCGGGGAACUGCCUCCGAUACUGGAUGGCUUGAGUUCGGGAGAGGGAUGCGGAAUUCCAGGUGUAGCGGUGAAAUGCGUAGAUAUCUGGAGGAACACCGGUGGCGAAGGCGGCAUCCUGGACCGACACUGACGCUGAGGAGCGAAAGCCAGGGGAGCAAACGGG
RNAcentral lists this ribosomal RNA (253 nucleotides) under uncultured bacterium. RNAcentral describes it as "partial 16S ribosomal RNA". It matches the Rfam family "Bacterial small subunit ribosomal RNA", at positions 524 to 776 of the family's 1533-position model. The record is from RNAcentral.